Molecule: long non-coding RNA, 2543 nt
Organism: Mustela erminea (ermine)
Lineage: Eukaryota; Metazoa; Chordata; Mammalia; Carnivora; Mustelidae
Exons: 5
Source: RefSeq, a predicted model, not a curated record
GUCUGCUCGACAAAAUGUAAACACAGGAACUGGAGUUAUUCUGAACCAACAGGAACCACCAAGAGCCGAGAACGCGGUCACUGCCGCAGAGAACUGAGGGGGGUUAAAAAGUGAUUGAGAGGUGGCAGAGGCUUCUUGGAAGAAGGUACCAUUCUCCAGCAAUACGAAGGCAUUUUCCUCCUAAAGUAAAAUGCUCUAGAUCUCUGGAGCCCUGAAGAUUUGCCAGUCUCAAGUGGAGUUCUGUGCUAUGGAAGCCAUCACCAAAGCAUGUCCCUAAACAUCCUCAGGGAGAGACACAUUUGGCCUCCGAGACAGGACUCUUGGCCUGGGAGCAUCUGCAUGUCUGCGAAUCAUGGGAGCAGUGGCUGAAGGCAUCCCACACCGUUUCUGCUUGGCAGGUGAGAAGGACCAAGGACUAUGUGGGAGGUAACAGAGGACCAGAAAGAGUUCUAAGAUUCCCUCUGUGACAGGAAGGGACAUGGCAUGCUGGAGUAAAAAGAUGAGGAAAGAGAGUGAAAAGUUCAGGAUCAGCCUUUGAAAUAAACCUUGAAGUCCAUGGUCCCGAGUCCUCUUUCUAGCCCUUCCUUAAGAGACUAGGGGUCUACUAGCACGGAAGGGAGUGACUACAGUUCAUACCGAAUUGCAGCUGGAAUUCUAGUGACCACCUCUCUCACAUUUUCCCAAAGACCAGAAAACUGCCUUGGGGGUAGGAGAUGAUGAUGAUGGCAUUCCAAUCACUUUCAGUGGGAACUAAAAAUUCAGAAAGCUCCAAAAGUGCCCACAGCAUUAACUUUUUUACAGUUUAAGAUACGGAUUGUACUUAGACUUGAUUUCUUUCAAAUUGCAAAUGUCAGUGCUCUGUGAAGGACAACCAAGUUCCAAAUGGGGCCGAGAACGAUUUCAGGGGCCUGGUUAAGAGCCAGUGAGUGACAUGGACGGUCAGCUUCCAGGGCUGAAGGAAGCAGCUGGGGGGAGAGGGACUUACGUUCAUUUUCCUGCGACAUCGAGAGAGGUUGAGGAGGAGAGACACCUUUAGUUCCCGGAAAGUUUUCAAGUCCUCACCAAACCCUUCUCGCGGGAAUUUCUUCAGGGCGUACUGGUAGCGCUGGGCAGCCUCCUUUACUUUCCCUUUCUAAUGGGAGUAGAAGAUGGCAAAACACAGAGUUGGUUUGCUGAGCAGCCGAGGAGGUCUGGCCCGCUCCCUUCCUCCUCUCGGCAGUGAUGACUAAGUUAGCCCUCCCAAACACCAGCCUGGGGAGUAGCUCUGGCCCUGCUGGUGAGAGAAGAGGGUCCAGUCUUUUCAACAGGAAACUCACCUGGCAGGAAGGGCAAGGUUGAAGGGGAUGCCCAAGACACAGGCCAAAGAACCAACCCCUGGGACCCCCAGCUUCCUGACCGGGAUCCCCAAGAGACUGAUCUUGCUCAUUUCAAAGGAGCUUUAUCUUGACCUGAUUUCCCUGGGACGCAUAUUAUUUUCUAGCCCCAACUACGCCAGAGUUAUUACUCCUUCUUCACUUUUGGUUUGCCUGGAAAACUCUUCCUGUUUGAUGCUCCUCCUUGCCAGUCCUCUAGAAGAGGUCAUGCCCUUCCUCACAAAGGAGGUGGGAGCUAAAACAGUCUAGCUGUUGCUUCCCUAGUCUCAAUGCAUAAAACAGUUGCCAGUGUUCCCAUUUUUAGAAAAGGUUUCGGGUAGGGUGAAACUAGUAGAGAAGUUUAGAAUUUGUGUUCCAUCUGCGUAGGAGGGAUUUUCCAAGAUGAAGUAAGUCUAGGACCAACUUAGGGACCUGGUAGCAGGGGCCUUGAAUUUUCCUUAUAUUCUGUAUCUGAAAAUCUAUCAACUAAUAAAUAAAUACCUAUACACAUAUACACAUAAAUAAAUAAAAAGAAAACAAAUGAAAAUCUAUCAGCUGAGCUCAGAAUGAGGCAGGAGGCAGCUCCCCUUCAUUUAGCCAAUCUUAAUCUGUUCCAUUCCUUCUGUGCGGCUGCAACUCCAUCCAGGGAGCCUGAUCGUCUCAUCUUCUCUUUAGCAUCUUUCCUCACGGAGAGAUCUGGAGUCUACCAAGAAUCCAUCACUAGUUCCUUGAAUCCAAGGAAUUGCCCAUGCAGCUCUGGCACCCCAAGACUGACCUUGUGCAAGCAGAAAGUCCACAGUUCCUAGAUGGCCUUCGGAGGCAGCCAUCAUCAGCGGAGUACGACCCUGCUUGUCUGCCAUGUUGACAUCAGCUCCAUGGAAGUUCCUGUCUAGAACUCACCCCUCCCUGAGGGGCCGGAAGUAGCUAGCCUGCUUACCUGCCAGUGGCCCUGGCGAACAGUGCUGAACAGAGGCACUGCCCCUCGGCGGUUUGGCUGGGCCACUGCUGCCCCCUGUUCCAAGAGGAGACGGCACACCUCCAGUUUGCCCCUCCCGGCGGCAGCUGUCAGUGCUAAGAGCAGAGAACACAGACUGAGAACAGGCAGGCGGGUCUUGCGCUCCCCCGCCCUCUGUGUGAGUGCUACUUUACCUCCAAGCGUGGGAGUGGUUACUUUUGCCAUGAAGGAUAUUU